This 254-nucleotide ribosomal RNA is filed under the name uncultured bacterium. RNAcentral describes it as "partial 16S ribosomal RNA". It matches the Rfam family "Bacterial small subunit ribosomal RNA", at positions 524 to 776 of the family's 1533-position model. The record is from RNAcentral.
UACGAAGGGGGCUAGCGUUGUUCGGAAUUACUGGGCGUAAAGCGCACGUAGGCGGACAUUUUAAGUCAGGGGUGAAAUCCCGGGGCUCAACCCCGGAACGGCCUUUGAUACUGGGUGUCUUGAGUUCGGAAGAGGUGAGUGGAAUUGCGAGUGUAGAGGUGAAAUUCGUAGAUAUUCGCAGGAACACCAGUGGCGAAGGCGGCUCACUGGUCCGAUACUGACGCUGAGGUGCGAAAGCGUGGGGAGCAAACAGG